UACGGGGGGAGCAAGCGUUGUUCGGAUUUACUGGGCGUAAAGGGCGCGUAGGCGGUCAGCACAAGUCGGUUGUGAAAUCUCCGGGCUUAACUCGGAAAGGUCAACUGAUACUGUGCGACUAGAGUGCAGAAGGGGCAACUGGAAUUCUCGGUGUAGCGGUGAAAUGCGUAGAUAUCGAGAGGAACGCCUGCGGCGAAGGCGGGUUGCUGGGCCGACACUGACGCUGAUGCGCGAAAGCCAGGGGAGCGAACGGG
This 254-nucleotide ribosomal RNA is filed under the name uncultured bacterium. RNAcentral describes it as "partial 16S ribosomal RNA". It matches the Rfam family "Bacterial small subunit ribosomal RNA", at positions 524 to 776 of the family's 1533-position model. The record is from RNAcentral.